RNAcentral lists this long non-coding RNA (389 nucleotides) under Physcomitrium patens. Its description in RNAcentral is "long non-coding RNA (PPAT_LNC006122)". Lineage: Eukaryota; Viridiplantae; Streptophyta; Bryopsida; Funariales; Funariaceae. The record is from RNAcentral.
AUUUCGAACCACUAAAAUACCAAGAAACACUACAAUGUUUCUUCUCAGUAACAAUACUCCUUCAUCAAUUGAUAACCACAAUGUGCAACCCUGUACUUUCAAAAGACCGCUCAAAACUCAAUAAAUUCCAUCCAACACUAGGAAUAACAGACUUCACUCCAACCAAUCUGAAUUCACAAAAUUCCUAUAAUCACAGACUUCCCUUGUCGAAACACACACACACAACUCUCAAUAAACAAUAAUCAUAAUCUUCCAUCCAUAAUCAAUCUUCCAAUAACUUCUCAUAUAGUUCAAUUACUCAGUACUCUAAUUACAUAAUCAAUAACUCAUAAAUAAAUCUUUGAUUUAUUCCACAGACUCACUUUUCAGUAUUCAGAAACUAUCCAUUA